Molecule: ribosomal RNA, 231 nt
Filed under: uncultured bacterium
Lineage: Bacteria
Description: partial 16S ribosomal RNA
Rfam family: Bacterial small subunit ribosomal RNA
Source: RNAcentral
UGGGCAACCUGCCCCUGGCUCUGGGAUAACUCCGGGAAACCGGAGCUAAUACCGGAUACGAGACCGAUUGGCAUCAAUACGGUCUGGAAAGUUUUUCGGCCAGGGAUGGGCUCGCGGCCUAUCAGCUUGUUGGUGGGGUAAUGGCCCACCAAGGCGACGACGGGUAGCCGGCCUGAGAGGGCGACCGGCCACACUGGGACUGAGACACGGCCCAGACUCCGUACGGGAGCA